UUUUGGUGCCUGUUGAAUUUUGAGCCUCAUACACUUCCUAGUCAAAAACAAAUUAUUAAAAUCAGACAAAAGCAGCCGGGCAUGGUGGCGCACACCUGUAAUCCUAGCACUUGGGAGGCUGAGGCAGGAGGAUUGUUGCAAGUUUGAGACCGGCGUGGGCUACAAGGUGAGCUCCAGGCCAGCCUGAACUGCAUGGCGGGACCUUGUCUCAAAAAGACACACACACAAAAAUAACCCUAAAAAACCCCGAAUCACUGAAUGCAUGAAGUUGGUACAGUAUCUGAACAUACCAGGUGCUAUCCUCUUGGGUCCCGUGUUAACAUGCAUUCCUGUAUUUUUCUUCAGGAUUUAAAGAAGAAUGGACUAUUUCCGUGACUUGAGCUUUCCCUCCAGGAAGGAUCUUCGCACUGCUGGUGGGAUUCAGACCCUCAGGCUCCCGAGAGAGGGUUUGGAGUGGCCUCCUCGACCGAGGCGGAGGAGCGCGGAUUGGAAAAGGAAAACCUCACAGCAGCCCAGCUUGCCGCCCCCGUGGAGAUCCCCAGGCUCCGCAGAGCCAGGCUGGGCUGCCUUCCUCCCCUCGCCUCUCCUCCUCCUCCGUCGCGUUUUCCUCCUCCCACUGUCUUCUUUUCUGCUUAAAGUUCGGCGACUCGGCUUGCCUCUCCUGGCCUUUCCCUCGGAAAGCGGAAGCCAGACCGCCCAGCGGCCACGGGCCGAGCGGCCCCAGCUCUAUCCCAGCUCGCAGCCGGACGGGCAUCCCCGCGCCCGCCUCCCUGCGCCGGUGACACCUCGGAACCCGGGCUCGGCCUCUCCACCGUCCUGCAGGUGUGCAGCCCUGCACGUCCUGCAGGUGAGCAGCAGGACGACCCGGGCGGCAAAGGAGAGCGGGCCUCUCGCCCCUCUCCCUGGGCCCCAGGUUUACACCACAAAGUUUGGAGGGUGGGUACACCUCUACCCGGGCCACUUGGUCCCCCAAACUCACGGCUGACUAAUCUUAUAUGACAAAAGCCUGUGAUGGAUUUGCUAUAUGUUAAUUCACAAUGCCCUUUCCUCCAGAAUUUAACUAUAAGUUAAUACACACCGGAAACCACGCGCAUACACGCCCGUUAAUGGGCUUAGGUAUUAGCGAGUCCUAACGAUGCAUACAAAUGUGCUCUGCGCUCUGUAGGCCCCUCAAGAUUUAUGGGCCUUGAGCUCUCUGAAGCUGUAAACAAGGAGAAAAAAAGAGAAAGCGAGAGAGACUGGGGGAAAGAGACAGAGGCCUGAAUCGCCACUCCAGAUUGUGGGAGAGAAGGGAUUCUUAUGUAUUUUCCUUGCCUUAGGAGCUUGGUGCGUGUGGGGUUUUGGCAUUGGUCCGGGGGUGGUGUGCUGCCUGAAUGCUGGCACGCGUGGGCAGCCUGUGGUUUGUGUGCUGGGGUAGGAGGACCUCUGCCUCCCUUGAGUCACUGUGUAGGGGCCUAAACAUAGCAGGCGUUUGUGGACGCGUUUGUGUGCGUGCACCGUGUUAGGUGGGAAUGUCUGCGUGCCCCACGCACAAGUGACAAGGAGGCCUCCCUCUGAGCCAGGCUUCUGUCCCCCAACCUGGUGAACAAAUCUCUAACAGCAAUCAUAAUAACAAUAAAUAACAGAACAAUAAUAAAAACAGUAGUUAACAGUCCCUCCCUAGUAGGAUAACAAUAAAAUGCCAGAGGAGGCAUUUUGAGGAGCGGGUAAAGGAGUCACCGUGGCAGAAUCUAAAAGGAAGACAAGAAAGGAAGGAAGUUAGCUUCUUUAAAUGUCUUCGAGGGGCUGGGGUUGGGAAUCCCCUCCCCAGGCAGGGUCCUUGGGCCAGAGGAGGGGAGGAAAGCCGGGAGGCCACUUUCCUGCUGCUUUUUCUCUGCUGUUUGCUUCGUGCGAGCAGGAAAGAGAUUCCACAUAUGGGGUGGUUUGUAGCUUUGUAGCUUUGUAGGCUUUCUGGAAACCCCUGUUUUAAAGAGGAGGCCAAACGUGCAGGGUCAGGCCGAGGGGCAGGACCACGGUCUCGCUCCCGGCCGCGGGGCGCAGAAGUGCCUGAGAGGACGAGCUUCGGGCCGGGGAGGAAGCAGGAAAAUAUUUAUGGCUGUCCGCCCAGGAGUGAGGAGAGCCAGGGAGUGAGACUGGGGCUCCCGCAAGCCCAGUGAAAGUUCCCUUCCUGAGGUCUUUUUAAAGAGAAGGGGGAGGUUGAGGCGCCCUGAAUUUUCCUCCUGGAGUUUGGAGCCCAGCGGAUUUCCGCAGAGGAGGCGAAGAUCGCGGCCCGGAUUCCUGCGGUGUCCACCUCGUUCUCUCCAGGUACAGUUUUCUGAUAAUUUCAUCAGUUAACUCAUUUGGGGGAGGUGGGAGGUAAAGCUGUAGAGAUGCGUCGUUAGCGGGAAAGGAAGCCGCCCCACCGUUUCGGGUCUAACGAAAUCCCUCCUUUAACAACAAUUGUACCAACAAACAAACAGAAAAAGAGGGAGAAAAUAUAAUAACACACAACCCACUUUUUAAAAGAGAAAAAGAAAAGAAAAUGUCCAUCCCCAAGAGCACGAGAACUUCUAAAAGAUUUAAUUCACAAUCCUUGUCAAAGGUUUGGAUUCUUUUUCAACAGCGGUGACCCAUUCGGUCUGAAAAGAGACGCAGAGGUCCGGGAUCCACUGAGUCACUUCUUUUAAUCCCCUGCCCGCCCCCCAACAAAGAUUCAGAGGGGACCACUGGGCUCCUCGCAUUGGAGAGGAGAACAGCACCGCGUGGAAGACAGUGUACUGCGAUAACCAGAGGAUGAAAUAGCAGUGAAAUAGAACAGGGCGAAGCACUGAGCGCAGGGAGAAGGCCCAGGCCUUAAGGGUCAGCGAGCGGCGGGCCGGCGAGGAGCUGCCCCAGGUGGUGGGCACCGGGCACUGGAGAAGGCGUGGGCCGUCUGCUUCUUUGGCUCACUGGCUCACUCAUUCGCUUGCCCCGGAGGCCGGGUCAGCUUCCCCGAUGAGAGGGUUUGGGGUCCAAGACUGGGCAAAGUGACUCAAGCCAGCUUCUGCUUUUUCAUUUUUCUCCCGUAGGCCUCUCCACUUGCCCCGUUCUCACCCACCAGGACACUGACGGAAGGGGCUUCUGGGCUGCCCCCCAUCCACUCCUGCUUGGCUUCCCAAAGUCCAGCGACCUCCAACCCUUCCUGGGGGGAAAAUACCUGUACCCAGGCACCUCAGCCCCUGCUAUGUGACCUGGCUCCCUCAGGACUAUGGUACAAAGAUGAAGAAAGAACAGCUCUCUCUCCCUCGGAGCCGUGUUUACAUCUAGUUCUACUGAUCCAUCCACAUCUGGAGGGUUUAUUUAUAACUCCUAUAACUCUUCCUGUUUCGAGGCACUGGUGGCUCUAUUGACAGACUGAUGCCUACAAAAUAUUGCUCUAUCUCUAACCAUACCUAAAUGUGCUGUGGUUGUAUUUACAGAUUUAUGUUUGAGGAAAAUAUAAUUAUUUCCAUUGUAUUUGUGCAUAUACAAUGGUUAUAGAAGCAGAUUUAUAUAUGGGAAAAUAUAUGACUCCCUUACAGCCAUCCAGCUUUAUGGACAUUUGAUAUUCUGACAGAUUUAUACCUCUGAGCAGCUUAUAGAUAAAUGUAUAUCAUUAGAAUUAUGUAUCAGGAGAUAUAUACUUAUUGAUUGUGAUAUAGAGUAGUUAGAGCAUUCACUUGGAGUCAUAUAUGCCUAUGGAGAUAUUUCUAUAUUAUUAUCACUAUCUAUAGGCACAUCUAUUUAUAACCACAUAGUUAUAAAAAUAGACGUAAGUAAUUAUAGUCCUAUAUGUACAUGCUGUUAUCUCUCUAGAGUUAUAGACACUUUGGAAUAUAACUCUAUAGAGAUAUCCGUAUGUAUAUAAGGCGUAAUUAUCUCGUGAUGUGUGUGCGCUGGGAUUUAGGCCAGUGUAUCUGAACAGACAUAUUUAUGUGUAGGGGCCGGGGGAGACUUGUUCACGGAGAUAACUGCGGAGGGCCCACUGAAAAACUGUAUCUGGCCAUCUAAGAAACUAGCUGGCAGAGUUUCUUACUCUGGAAGAGAUGGAGUUACAAAAGAGUAAACAGCGGAUAGGAAGCAUCCCAGAGGGGAGACAAUGGAG
This is a long non-coding RNA of Chinchilla lanigera (long-tailed chinchilla), 4102 nucleotides long. Ensembl lists it as uncharacterized. The record is from Ensembl. Lineage: Eukaryota; Metazoa; Chordata; Mammalia; Rodentia; Chinchillidae.